This 415-nucleotide ribosomal RNA is filed under the name Funneliformis mosseae. RNAcentral describes it as "partial large subunit ribosomal RNA". The record is from RNAcentral. Lineage: Eukaryota; Fungi; Glomeromycota; Glomeromycetes; Glomerales; Glomeraceae.
AGAGUUAAACAGUACGUGAAAUUGUUGAAAGGGAAACGAUUGAAGUCAGUCAUACCAACGGGAAAUCAACCUUUUGAGCUCGGUCUCGUGGGUUUUGAAGAGUUUCAAAGCCUUCGGAUUCGCGGGAUUGGGAUCUCUUGGUGUACUUUUUCGUACGGUUAGUCAACAUCGGUUUUGAAUGUCAUAAAAUGACUGGAGGAAUGUAGCUUCGAUCUCGUAUUGAAGUGUUAUAGCCUUUGGUAGAUGUGAUGUUUGAGACCGAGGAUUGCAACGGAUACCCUUCAGGGCUAUUCGUCUGAUCUCUGAUACGUUGCCUUGAUGUUGAAAGCUUGCUUAUGAUGUUAGGGUAUUACGGUCAAAAGGUUAGAACGAAUUACAUUCGUUAAGGAUGUUGACGUAAUGACUUUAAACGACC